RNAcentral lists this ribosomal RNA (501 nucleotides) under uncultured bacterium. RNAcentral's name for it is "partial 16S ribosomal RNA". It matches the Rfam family "Bacterial small subunit ribosomal RNA", at positions 28 to 506 of the family's 1533-position model. The record is from RNAcentral.
GACGAACGCUGGCGGCGUGCCUAAUACAUGCAAGUCGAACGAACCGCGACUAAGUGCUUGCACUAAGUCAAGGUGAGUGGCGAACGGGUGAGUAACACGUGGGUAACCUACCUCAUAGUGGGGGAUAACAGUCGGAAACGACUGCUAAUACCGCAUAGGACAUAGGAUCACAUGAUCCAGUGAGGAAAGGUGGCGCAAGCUAUCGCUAAGAGAUGGACCCGCGGUGCAUUAGCUAGUUGGUAGGGUAAAGGCCUACCAAGGCGAUGAUGCAUAGCCGACCUGAGAGGGUGAUCGGCCACAUUGGGACUGAGACACGGCCCAAACUCCUACGGGAGGCAGCAGUAGGGAAUCUGCCGCAAUGGACGCAAGUCUGACGGAGCAACGCCGCGUGAGUGAAGAAGGUCUUCGGAUCGUAAAGCUCUGUUGUUAGAGAAGAACAGCGCAUAGAGUAACUGCUAUGCGUGUGACGGUAUCUAACCAGAAAGCCACGGCUAACUACGU